RNAcentral lists this ribosomal RNA (253 nucleotides) under uncultured bacterium. Its description in RNAcentral is "partial 16S ribosomal RNA". It matches the Rfam family "Bacterial small subunit ribosomal RNA", at positions 524 to 776 of the family's 1533-position model. The record is from RNAcentral.
UACGUAGGGGGCAAGCGUUGUCCGGAAUCAUUGGGCGUAAAGAGCGUGUAGGCGGUUUGGUAAGUCCGCUGUGAAAGUCAAGGGCUCAACCCUUGAAUGCCGGUGGAUACUGUCGAACUAGAGUCCGGAAGAGGCGAGUGGAAUUCCUGGUGUAGCGGUGAAAUGCGCAGAUAUCAGGAGGAACACCGAUGGCGAAGGCAGCUCGCUGGGACGGUACUGACGCUGAGACGCGAAAGCGUGGGGAGCAAACAGG